Molecule: ribosomal RNA, 253 nt
Filed under: uncultured bacterium
Lineage: Bacteria
Description: partial 16S ribosomal RNA
Rfam family: Bacterial small subunit ribosomal RNA
Source: RNAcentral
GACGAACCGUGCGAACGUUGUUCGGAAUCACUGGGCCUAAAGGGCGCGUAGGCGGCUUUUCAAGUCAGGGGUGAAAUCCGGCAGCUUAACUGUCGAAGUGCCUUUGAUACUGGGAAGCUCGAGGGAGGUAGGGGUGUGUGGAACUUCCGGUGGAGCGGUGAAAUGCGUUGAUAUCGGAAGGAACGCCGGUGGCGAAAGCGACGCACUGGACCUCUUCUGACGCUGAGGCGCGAAAGCCAGGGGAGCAAACGGG